RNAcentral lists this non-coding RNA (96 nucleotides) under Thermophagus xiamenensis. Its description in RNAcentral is "TPP sequence". It matches the Rfam family "TPP riboswitch aptamer (THI element)". From Rfam's summary of the family: Vitamin B(1) in its active form thiamin pyrophosphate (TPP) is an essential coenzyme that is synthesised by coupling of pyrimidine and thiazole moieties in bacteria. The previously detected thiamin-regulatory element, thi box was extended, resulting in a new, highly conserved RNA secondary structure, the THI element, which is widely distributed in eubacteria and also occurs in some archaea. Analysis of operon structures identified a large number of new candidate thiamin-regulated genes, mostly transporters, in various prokaryotic organisms. Lineage: Bacteria; Pseudomonadati; Bacteroidota; Bacteroidia; Marinilabiliales; Marinilabiliaceae. The record is from Rfam by way of RNAcentral.
AAUUCAAUUUAGGGGUGCCUUACUUAACAGGCUGAGAUCAUACCCAUUGAACCUGCACAGGAUAAUGCCUGCGAAGGGAAGAGAUUUUAUCGUAUG